This 253-nucleotide ribosomal RNA is filed under the name uncultured bacterium. Its description in RNAcentral is "partial 16S ribosomal RNA". It matches the Rfam family "Bacterial small subunit ribosomal RNA", at positions 524 to 776 of the family's 1533-position model. The record is from RNAcentral.
UACGAAGGGGGCGAGCGUUGUUCGGAUUUACUGGGCGUAAAGAGUGCGUAGGUGGUUUAGUAAGUUGGAAGUGAAAGCCCGGGGCUUAACCUCGGAAUAGCUUUCAAAACUACUAAUCUAGAGUGUAGUAGGGGAUGAUGGAAUUCCUAGUGUAGAGGUGAAAUUCUUAGAUAUUAGGAGGAACACCGGUGGCGAAGGCGGUCAUCUGGGCUACAACUGACACUGAUGCACGAAAGCGUGGGGAGCAAACAGG